This 497-nucleotide ribosomal RNA is filed under the name uncultured bacterium. RNAcentral describes it as "partial 16S ribosomal RNA". It matches the Rfam family "Bacterial small subunit ribosomal RNA", at positions 28 to 507 of the family's 1533-position model. The record is from RNAcentral.
GAUGAACGCUGGCGGCGUGCCUAAUACAUGCAAGUCGAGCGAACGGACGAGAAGCUUGCUUCUCUGAUGUUAGCGGCGGACGGGUGAGUAACACGUGGAUAACCUACCUAUAAGACUGGGAUAACUUCGGGAAACCGUAGCUAAUACCGGAUAAUAUUUUGAACCGCAUGGUUCAAAAGUGAAAGACGGUCUUGCUGUCACUUAUAGAUGGAUCCGCGCUGCAUUAGCUAGUUGGUAAGGUAACGGCUUACCAAGGCAACGAUGCAUAGCCGACCUGAGAGGGUGAUAGGCCACACUGGAACUGAGACACGGUCCAGACUCCUACGGGAGGCAGCAGUAGGGAAUCUGCCGCAAUGGGCGAAAGCCUGACGGAGCAACGCCGCGUGAGUGAUGAAGGUCUUCGGAUCGUAAAACUCUGUUAUUAGGGAAGAACAGAUGUGUAAGUAACUGUGCACAUCUUGACGGUACCUAAUCAGAAAGCCACGGCUAACUACGUG